This 158-nucleotide small RNA is filed under the name Mytilus galloprovincialis (Mediterranean mussel). The record is from RNAcentral. Lineage: Eukaryota; Metazoa; Mollusca; Bivalvia; Mytilida; Mytilidae.
UCGAGAAAGCGAAAACGCGAAAUCGAAAUCGAGAAAUCGGGAAAGCGAAAACACGAAAUCGAGAAAUCUAUUUCAUUUCCCGUUUUCGCGUUUUCGCGUUUUAGCUUUCGCGUUUUCGCUUUCUUGAUUUCUCGAUUUUGCGUUUUCGCUUUCUCGAU